This 253-nucleotide ribosomal RNA is filed under the name uncultured bacterium. RNAcentral describes it as "partial 16S ribosomal RNA". It matches the Rfam family "Bacterial small subunit ribosomal RNA", at positions 524 to 776 of the family's 1533-position model. The record is from RNAcentral.
UACAGAGGUCCCAAGCGUUGUUCGGAUUCAUUGGGCGCAAAGGGUGCGUAGGCGGUGGGGUAAGUUGGAUGUGAAAUCUUGGGGCUUAACCUCAAAAUUGCAUUCAAUACUGCUCCGCUCGAGCUCUGUAGAGGAGAUUGGAAUUUACGGUGUAGCAGUGAAAUGCGUAGAUAUCGUAAGGAACGCCAGUGGCGAAAGCGAAUCUCUGGGCAGCAACUGACGCUGAGGCACGAAGGCCAGGGGAGCAAACGGG